RNAcentral lists this ribosomal RNA (500 nucleotides) under uncultured bacterium. Its description in RNAcentral is "partial 16S ribosomal RNA". It matches the Rfam family "Bacterial small subunit ribosomal RNA", at positions 29 to 523 of the family's 1533-position model. The record is from RNAcentral.
AUUGAACGCUGGCGGCAUGCUUUACACAUGCAAGUCGAACGGCAGCGCGGGCUUCGGCCUGGCGGCGAGUGGCGAACGGGCGAGUAAUAUAUCGGAACGUACCCAAGAGUGGGGGAUAACGUAGCGAAAGUUACGCUAAUACCGCAUACGCUCCAAGGAUGAAAGCAGGGGACCGCAAGGCCUUGUGCUCCUGGAGCGGCCGAUAUCUGAUUAGCUAGUGGGGGAGGGAAAGGCUCACCAAGGCAACGAUCAGUAGCUGGUCUGAGAGGACGACCAGCAACACUGGAACUGUGACACGGUCCAGACUCCUCCGGGAGGCAGCAGUGGGGAAUUUUGGACAAUGGGGGCAACCCUGAUCCAGCAAUGCCGCGUGAGUGAAGAAGGCCUUCGGGUUGUAAAGCUCUUUUGUCAGGGAAGAAAAGGCUGUGGCUAAUAUCCACAGCUGCUGACGGUACCUGAAGAAUAAGCACCGGCUAACGACGUGCCAGCCGCCGCCGUAA